RNAcentral lists this transfer-messenger RNA (130 nucleotides) under Chitinophagaceae bacterium. Its description in RNAcentral is "partial transfer-messenger RNA". It matches the Rfam family "transfer-messenger RNA", at positions 1 to 134 of the family's 374-position model. From Rfam's summary of the family: Bacterial tmRNA, also known as 10Sa RNA or SsrA, is named for its dual tRNA and mRNA-like properties. Its role is to liberate the mRNA from a stalled ribosome. Lineage: Bacteria; Pseudomonadati; Bacteroidota; Chitinophagia; Chitinophagales; Chitinophagaceae. The record is from RNAcentral.
GGGGCUGUACUGGUUUCGACAGCAUAGAUCUUUGGAAGUGUAAGCAUGUCGUGCGUUGGAUAAUUAGCACGUUAAUCUGAAUAUUCAAAACUAUAAAUGGCAAUACUCAGUAUGCCAUGGCUGCUUAAUC